RNAcentral lists this RNase P RNA (365 nucleotides) under Petroclostridium sp. X23. Its description in RNAcentral is "RNase P RNA component class A". It matches the Rfam family "Bacterial RNase P class A". From Rfam's summary of the family: Ribonuclease P (RNase P) is a ubiquitous endoribonuclease, found in archaea, bacteria and eukarya as well as chloroplasts and mitochondria. Its best characterised activity is the generation of mature 5'-ends of tRNAs by cleaving the 5'-leader elements of precursor-tRNAs. Lineage: Bacteria; Bacillati; Bacillota; Clostridia; Eubacteriales; Oscillospiraceae. The record is from RNAcentral.
CGAGUAAGCCAGAUGAUCGCGGAUGCAGUGCCGAAAGGCCGCAUUUGAGGAAAGUCCGAGCUCCAUAGGGCAGGGUGCUGGGUAACCCCCAGUGGAGGCGACUCUAAGGAAAGUGCAACAGAGAUAUACCGCCACUUGCAUGCAAGUGGUAAGGGUGGAAAGGCGAGGUAAGAGCUCACCAGCGAUUAGGUGACUAAUCGGCUAUGUAAACCCCACUUGGAGCAACACCGUAUAGAGGAGAAGUACCUUCGAGGUACAACGUCGGCCCGGCGUCUCCCGGGUAGGUGGCUUGAGCUGUGCAGUAAUGUAUGGCCUAGAUAGAUGAUUAUCGAAUACAGAACUCGGCUUAUAGACUUGCUCGUUAU